AGUAAAUAGAUACCCGGGUAGUCCACGCCGUAAACGAUGUCGACUUGGAGGUUGUGCCCUUGAGGCGUGGCUUCCGGAGCUAAACGCGUUAAAGUCGACCGCCUGGGGAGUACGGCCGCAAGGUUAAAACUCAAAUGAAUUGACGGGGGCCCGCACAAGCGGUGGAGCAUGUGGUUUAAUUCGAUGCAACGCGAAGAACCUUACCUACUCUUGACAUCCAGAGAACUUAGCAGAGAUGCUUUGGUGCCUUCGGGAACUCUGAGACAGGUGCUGCAUGGCUGUCGUCAGCUCGUGUUGUGAAAUGUUGGGUUAAGUCCCGCAACGAGCGCAACCCUUAUCCUUUGUUGCCAGCGGUCCGGCCGGGAACUCAAAGGAGACUGCCAGUGAUAAACUGGAGGAAGGUGGGGAUGACGUCAAGUCAUCAUGGCCCUUACGAGUAGGGCUACACACGUGCUACAAUGGCGCAUACAAAGAGAAGCGACCUCGCGAGAGCAAGCGGACCUCAUAAAGUGCGUCGUAGUCCGG
This 525-nucleotide ribosomal RNA is filed under the name uncultured bacterium. RNAcentral's name for it is "bacterial SSU rRNA". It matches the Rfam family "Bacterial small subunit ribosomal RNA", at positions 775 to 1296 of the family's 1533-position model. The record is from RNAcentral.